UGAAAAUCUUCUCGUACAAAACCACAUGGCCUAAGACUUUGAUAUUUGGUUUGUAGCAUCAUCUAGUGGUCCUCUACCAAGAUUAUUCAAAUUAUCCCUCUAGGGUCAAAUAUGACCCCGCACCAGGGGUCCCAAGUUUUACAUAGACUUUUAUAGAAAAAAAAGUUUAAAAAACUUCUUGCCUGAAACCACAACACUUAGACCUUUGAUGUUUGGUUUGUAGCAUUGUCUUAUGGUCCUCAACCAUAAUUAUUCAAAUUGUACACCUUGGGUGAAAAGAGGCCCUGCCCUGGGGGUCCCCAGUUUUAUAUAGACUUAUACAGGAAAAAGCUUUAAAAAUCUUCUUGUCUGAAACCAUACGACCGAGGCUUUUGAUAUUUGGUAUGAUGCAUUGUCUAGUAGUCCUCUACCAAAAUUGUUCAAAUUAUGUCCCUGGGGUUAAAAGAGGCCCCGCCCUAGGGUCACUUAGUUAUUAUGUGAGUUAUAUAGGAAAAAUACUUGAAAUAUCAUCUGAUCAUAUUUCCAAGACUGUUUAAUUAUAAUUACCUGAUGACCCCAAGUAAUAUGAUGUCACUUGACUGUGACCUUGACCUACUGACCUACUUUCUUGUUUUUUUUAACAUACAGCCUUGAAAUUUUGAUGACAUACACAGUUUUGCACACAAAUCGUAAAACUGAAUUUCAUUGACCAUGUAUGUGACCUACUGACUUUCUUAAUAUUUUAUCACCAGUUUGACAUUUGAAACAUGUAGCUCAUGUCACUCAGGUGAGCGAUCCAGGGUCAACAUGACCCUCUUGUUCUUACAUGUGGCAACACUGAUAUAUUUGUUUCUCUUUUUACACAUGCCUCUCUGUCUGUAUACACGCAACAGGGUCACCAUGGGAACGUACCGCCACAGACAUAUAGACAAUGACUGACGUUCAGAUGAGCAGAUUUUAGGGCAUAUACGGUUAGUACAUGUAUGUCUACUUUUCCUUUUAUGUGGCAACGCUUUGAUAAAUUUGUUUUUGUUUUUACACAUGCCUUUCUGUAUUUAUACAUUCAACCUUAACAGGGUUACCAUGGAAACGUACCUCAAUAUCUAGGCAAUGGUAUAUUGGAUUAGCAACGUUCAGAUGUACAAAGUCAUAGAGCAGAUUUUGGAGCAUAUAAGGUGUGUAUGUUUACUUUUUCUUUUUAUGUGAUGUCACUUUGAUGUAUUUGUUUUUCAUUUUACACAUGCCUCUCUGUAUCUAUAAACACAACAGGAUUACCAUGGAAGCUAACAUCUACAUCUACGCAAAGGUAAAAAUGGAUGACGACGUCCAAAUCUACAAACAGCAGUGAGAGAAAUCCUGCAACCGAUAACGAUCACGUGACAAACGCUUAGCUUUAAAUAGUCUAAGCUUUGCUAGGACCCGUAAAUGAAUUCAGGCAAAACUUGAAUAUAAACAAACAUGUGGAUAAUCUGUGCGGUUAUUGGAAACUCAAUCUACCUUGCAUGUGUUUUGCUGCGUAAUUCUUGGUGUUCGGUGUUUGCUGUUUUGUCAGGGAUUUGUUUGGCUAUUUGAUGGUGUUUGUGGUGGUUUUGGUGUUUGUUGUGGUGUUUGUGUUGGUGUUUUGGUGUUUGUUGUGUUUUUGGUGUCUUCCAUGUGGUCUUCUCGGUUGUAUUCGAUCAUGUUUGUGUUGUUUUGUUAAAAUGGGCGUUUGGUGCGAAUUGUAUGUUGCAUCUGGUUCUUCAUCGUUCGUUCCGUUACAAGGUGAAUUUCUUUCUGCCAUUAGCAAUACAUUAUAUCUAGAUUUAUUGAUGUUCACAAUUAAAUAUUGCGCUGUGAUUAAUUUGUUUUACGUUUCCCAUCAGUUUUAGAUAGCUGCAAAGAUAUGUCAUGAAAUUUGUAGACGACAAAUAUAGUGUGCAGGCGAGAUCUGGGUUGAACGCGCGAAAGCUGCAAGUACAUGCCAUGGAAUAUGCAGACGACAGACAUGCGGUGUAGACGAGAUCUGGGUUGAACGCGCGAAAUUGUUCUAUUUCAUUUCUGCGUUUUACUCUUUUUGUUUUGUAUUUCUUUUUUCUACUAGAAUGCUGGGGUAUGUAUACUUGAAGAAAAAAGACGCAGACGGACAUGGAGAUGCAGACCAAGCAAAAUGUGCGUUUCUCUUUAUGAUGAACAGGUAUGUAUAUUGCUACUUAUGUUAUCCUUUUUUGUAUGCAUUUUUUCAACCUGGUGGCUUACAAACACGUGUGAAUAUAUCAUGUUGUAGACAAUGCAAUGGUUUAGUGGAUGGUGCAGCUAUGGUACAUGAUACUGACUACAAUCACGUGCGUGGAUGUCAUGUUGUAGAUUUCACAGUGGUUAAGUGGAUGCUGCAACUUGAUCCUUUCUCUGAGGUAUGUAAUUUUUCUGACAGGUACAAUUAGAUUAUUUCGUUCGAUAGCUUUUUUGCAGUUUUCAUCACGCAAGUUACGCACAUUCAUUUUCAUUUUAAUGAAUUUUCUAUAAAUUUUAUAUUUUCUGGUUAUCGUGUGGGCGUACAUGGUUUUAAUUUUUUUUUUAUUUUUAACUCAUUACUGUUAAUUGUUAGAUAAUGACUACCAGUAUUCAGUUAAGUAGUGUAUAACUUUAAACCUUUAGAAAGCAAAGAACUAUUUUUGUCGUAGUAAUUCUAGAACGUAGGAAUGUGCAUUCAACUUCUGGCUAUGGUGAAAGUAAAACUCGAAGUAUUGGACAAGAAACUCAGAACUAUUCGAUGAGAAACCUAUACUAUCAAGACGAGGAACCCGAACUAUCCGACAAGAAGCGGUUUCCUGUACUACACACUUGUCGAAUUGCCGGUACUAAAAAGAUGCCGAUAACCAGAGGGGCACUGGAAACCAAUCGAUGUCGCUCAUCAGAGGUGUUCUGGACCCCUUAUGUCAACAUAGUAAUCAGCUGUUCUCGACAAGACGACACUUGCUGCUUCUACCAGAUGACGCCAGUGGCGGAAGAAGGGACCCGAUGCCUGGAGUAACUUUGCAGUAUAAAAUUUUGCACUGUUCGAUUGGUCAGGAUAGAGUGGUUUCAGUGGAAUUCAGCCCUUGGUGGACAUAUCGUCUGUAUUUGCCCUGUCCUAGUGAUGGUAGAGAGCUCUUCCACACCUCGUGCACAUAUCAGAAUCCGCGAGGUAGGCGACGAAUUUAUUCAGGUUUAAAACGACAGGAAGACAAUGUUUUACAUUGUUGAAAGACAAAGAAAAAGAAUCGAUCCCAGAACGUGUUUGUUGUUUUCGGCAGUUGAGGGGGGAGUCCGGUGCAUGCCAGAUACUAUCUACUGAUUUCAAACACUCUAGCGAGAAAUAUAUGCAGAAGAAAGAACCAAGUAUGAUAAAUCUACGACAGACCUGGCACAAGCAUAUAGCAUGACACCACUACAGCCGCCAUGACAAAAGCAUAGUUAAACAAAGUAGACACAAGCUAACAUGUAUAUAAUUAUAACCCAACGUACAAAGUAUAUUGGGCUAUGUAGGAGUCACGCAUGUCCAGUUCAUCCAUCCGUCCGUUCAUUUGUCCAACAUGGCCGCUAGGAUGAUUUUCAUAAAACUGACGUAAAUUAUAAACCACAUCAAGACGAUGCACAGAGCGCUCAACCUAGGUCAAAAGGCCCAAGAUCAAGGUUACUCGUGAAGGUGAAAGGUCAAAUAGCUUAGCUUCAUUUCCGCUCUAUAUUGUCUAAACGGCUUUGAAAAUAUUUAGCUCGACUGUUUGAAGAAUAAAGAGGAUUACUGUACUUGCCUUGGCGUCUGUGUCACUGUCACCGUUGCAACGAAAGUUAAAAUUUUAUUACAAGCUUCUCAGUGUCACUAUAUCUUCUUACUACUGCCCUUAUUAACAUCAAACUUCACAUAAGUGUUGGUCUUGGUAAGGGAAAGACAUCUACAUGUAUUAGUUUAGGGACAUGUAUCCUAAAUGUCGAAGUCACUGGCUUAAAUAUUGUGAUAGUGCUGGUUAAAGUUUCAUGAUAAGCUUCUCAAUUUCACAAUAUAACCUCACUUAAGGAUUGAUCUUAGAAUGUGGCAGAAAUCUUUUUGUUUAGGGUCAGAUUGCUCAAAGGUCAAGUUAUUGGGGUCAGAUUUUGUAAAACCCAACUCAUUCAUUCAUUCAUUUGUAACAGUGUUGGUUAAAGUCUUGUGGCACAUUUCUCAAUUUGACUUAUAUCUCAUUACGUUUCUUAGAACUGGUAUCCCUCAUGUCCUAUCCUUUUUAGCUAUACCCACACUUCAUGUACGUUCGUCCCGACACGCACCCAAAAAUGCGUUCCAUACAAAAACUUAUAUUUCAUGUAUCCAUCAACUCCCCACUCCGCCGUCUCCACCUACCUCUUCCACCCCAUUUCACCGAACCUUUAUCCUCGCCCCUAACCUCCACCCCCUCCAUAAUAAGGAUAAAAAACUCCUUUUCGAUCUCCCACACUUGCUUAUAAUAAUAACAAUAUCUUUAAACAUUUUCCUAUAGUCGAGCAGACACAAUUAACUCAGAUCACUAGGUCCAAGGUCAAGGUCACACCUAAAAAUCAAAAGUCAUGAUGACAACAUUUUACUUUCCCUUUAUCAAAGUGAGGUCUGGGGGUAUUAAUCGACUUCAGUGAUAGCCUUAGUUGAUCAGGUGUUAGUGGCAUAAAUUUGUAACAUUUGCUUUAUUAGGGGGUGGGGGGUAUAGGAAUGGUCUCCAUCCGUCCGUCUGCCCGUCCGUAACAUUUUCGUGUCUGGUCCAUAUCUCCUAAACACCUUGAAGGAUUUUCAUGAAACUUGGGUCAAAUGAUCACAUCAAGACGAUGUGCAGAACUUAUGAGUUUGCCAUGUCGGCUCAAGGUCAAGGUCACAACUCAAGGUCAAAGGUUUUAGCCUUCCAUUUCGUGUCCGCUCUGUAUCUCUUAAACCUCUUGAAGGAAUUUGAUAAAACUCGGGUCAAAUAAUCACCUCAUCUCGAGGAUGUACAGAACUUAUGAGUCAGCCAUGCCGGCCCAAGGUCAAGGUCACAACUUAGGGUUAAAGGUUUUAGCCUUCCAUUUUGUGUCCGCUUUGUAUCUCCUAAACCCCUUGAAAGAUUUUCAUGAAACUUGGGUAAAAUUAUCACUUCAUCAAGACGAUGUGUAGAACUCAUGAGUCAGCCAUGUUAAGGUCAAGGCCACAACUUUGGAUCAAAGGUUUGAGCCUUCCAUUUUGUGUCCGCUCUGUAUCUCCUAAACCCCUUGAAGGAUUUUCAUGAAACCUGGGUCAAAUGAUCACCUCAUCAAGAUGAUAUGCAGAACCUAUGAGUUAGCCAUGCCGGCUCAAGGUCAAGUUCAUAAAGGAUUGAGUCUUCCAUUUUGUGUCCACUCUGUAUCUGCUAAACCCCUUGAAGGAUUUUCAUUAAACUUGGGCCAAACGAUUAUCACAUCAAGAACUCAUGAUUCAGCUAUGUCAACUCAAGGUCACGGUCACAACUCAAGGUCAAAGGUUUGAGCUCGUAUCUCCUAAACUCCUUGAAGGUUUUCAUGAAACUUUGGUCAAAUGAUCAACUUAUCAAGAUGAUGUGAAGAAUUUAUAAGUCAGUCAUGUCAGAUCAAGGUUAAGGUCACAGCUCAAGGUCAAAGGUUCAAGUUACCCUUUCACUAUCCAUAACAGUGGCGGGGUUUUUAUCUGUCUUUCAGACUGCCAUGUAAUAAUUGAUUUUAUGACAGGAGAUAUUUGUUUGUUUCAGUGUAAGAUCGAUCAAAUCUUUUCUAAAUACAUCUCGCGAAAAUGAAAAAUCUAGUGUUCAAGCGUGAAAAAUAA
This is an RNA transcript of Mercenaria mercenaria, 5770 nucleotides long. RefSeq lists it as uncharacterized. NCBI's taxonomy places the organism in Eukaryota, Metazoa, Mollusca, Bivalvia, Venerida, Veneridae. The transcript is spliced from 6 exons. The record is from RefSeq and is a predicted model, not a curated record.